This 505-nucleotide ribosomal RNA is filed under the name uncultured bacterium. Its description in RNAcentral is "partial 16S ribosomal RNA". It matches the Rfam family "Bacterial small subunit ribosomal RNA", at positions 28 to 507 of the family's 1533-position model. The record is from RNAcentral.
GACGAACGCUGGCGGCGUGCCUAAUACAUGCAAGUAGAACGCACAGUUUAUACCGUAGCUUGCUACACCAUAGACUGUGAGUUGCGAACGGGUGAGUAACGCGUAGGUAACCUGCCUGGUAGCGGGGGAUAACUAUUGGAAACGAUAGCUAAUACCGCAUAAUAUUGAUUAUUGCAUGAUAAUUGAUUGAAGGAUGCUAUUGCAUCACUACCAGAUGGACCUGCGUUGUAUUAGCUAGUAGGUGAGGUAACGGCUCACCUAGGCGACGAUACAUAGCCGACCUGAGAGGGUGAUCGGCCACACUGGGACUGAGACACGGCCCAGACUCCUACGGGAGGCAGCAGUAGGGAAUCUUCGGCAAUGGACGAAAGUCUGACCGAGCAACGCCGCGUGAGUGAAGAAGGGUUUCGGAUCGUAAAGCUCUGUUGUAAGAGAAGAACGGGUGUGAGAGUGGAAAGUUCACACUGUGACGGUAUCUUACCAGAAAGGGACGGCUAACUACGUG